UACGGGAGGCAGCAGUGGGGAAUAUUGCGCAAUGGGGGCAACCCUGACGCAGCAACGCCGCGUGCGGGACGAAGGCCUUCGGGUUGUAAACCGCUUUCAGCAGGGAAGACAUCGACGGUACCUGCAGAAGAAGCCCCGGCUAACUACGUGCCAGCAGCCGCGGUAAU
Molecule: ribosomal RNA, 167 nt
Filed under: uncultured rumen bacterium
Lineage: Bacteria
Description: partial 16S ribosomal RNA
Rfam family: Bacterial small subunit ribosomal RNA
Source: RNAcentral